GGUGAGGUGCCCGAGUGGCCAAAGGGAGCAGACUGUAAAUCUGCCGGCGCAAGUCUUCGAAGGUUCGAAUCCUUCCCUCACCA
This 83-nucleotide transfer RNA is filed under the name Deltaproteobacteria bacterium. RNAcentral's name for it is "tRNA-Tyr". It matches the Rfam family "tRNA". Rfam says of the family: Transfer RNA (tRNA) molecules are approximately 80 nucleotides in length. Their secondary structure includes four short double-helical elements and three loops (D, anti-codon, and T loops). Lineage: Bacteria; Pseudomonadati; Myxococcota; Myxococcia. The record is from RNAcentral.